This 282-nucleotide long non-coding RNA is filed under the name Struthio camelus australis. Its description in RNAcentral is "lncRNA (ENSSCUG00000018610.1)". Lineage: Eukaryota; Metazoa; Chordata; Aves; Struthioniformes; Struthionidae. The record is from RNAcentral.
AACAACAGUGAGACGACUUUAAAAACACUUUGUCUGAUUCUGGUGUCUGUACUUGCAGAAGAAGAUAACAGUUAUGCGAGGACUUCAGAAAAAAACACCAAAAAUUCAGAGACUGGAAAAAAAAAAUUGCAAGGUCACGGGGACAAUGGUUGACAGCAUGCCAUGACUCUUUGUGAAGCCAAAUCCAAACUUCAGCAUGGAGUGACAAGGAGAAGGAUAACACUAGUGAACAUACUUAGAACACUCUUCCGUCAUUCCAUGCAAAGGCCCAGUAAUUUUUAA